GCCUGGGUGGCUCAGUCGGUUGAGCGUCCGACUUCGGCUCAGGUCAUGAUCUCGCAGUUUGUGGGUUCAAGCCCCACAUCAGGCU
Molecule: transfer RNA, 85 nt
Filed under: Felis catus (domestic cat)
Lineage: Eukaryota; Metazoa; Chordata; Mammalia; Carnivora; Felidae
Rfam family: tRNA
About the family: Transfer RNA (tRNA) molecules are approximately 80 nucleotides in length.
Source: Rfam by way of RNAcentral